UACGAAGGGGGCUAGCGUUGCUCGGAAUCACUGGGCGUAAAGCGCACGUAGGCGGGUUCUUAAGUCAGGGGUGAAAUCCUGGAGCUCAACUCCAGAACUGCCUUUGAUACUGGGAAUCUCGAGUCCGGGAGAGGCGAGUGGAACUGCGAGUGUAGAGGUGAAAUUCGUAGAUAUUCGCAAGAACACCAGUGGCGAAGGCGGCUCACUGGCCCGGUACUGACGCUGAGGUGCGAAAGCGUGGGGAGCAAACAGG
This 253-nucleotide ribosomal RNA is filed under the name uncultured bacterium. RNAcentral describes it as "partial 16S ribosomal RNA". It matches the Rfam family "Bacterial small subunit ribosomal RNA", at positions 524 to 776 of the family's 1533-position model. The record is from RNAcentral.